RNAcentral lists this ribosomal RNA (433 nucleotides) under uncultured bacterium. RNAcentral describes it as "partial 16S ribosomal RNA". The stretch from base 20 to 302 matches the Rfam family "Bacterial small subunit ribosomal RNA", at positions 47 to 358 of the family's 1533-position model. The record is from RNAcentral.
AACGAACGCUGGCGGCAUGCCUAACACAUGCAAGUCGAACGAGACCUUCGGGUCUAGUGGCGCACGGGUGCGUAACGCGUGGGAACCUGCCUUUAGGUUCGGAAUAACUCAGAGAAAUUUGAGCUAAUACCGGAUGAUGUCUUCGGACCAAAGAUUUAUCGCCUUUAGAUGGGCCCGCGUUGGAUUAGCUAGUUGGUGGGGUAAAGGCCUACCAAGGCGACGAUCCAUAGCUGGUCUGAGAGGAUGAUCAGCCACACUGGGACUGAGACACGGCCCAGACAAAAAGGGGAGGAGGAAGGGGGAAAAAGGGAAAAAGGGGGGAAAGCGGAAACAAGAAAGGCGGGGGGAGAAAGAAGGCCGUGGGGGUGGAAAAGCUUUUUAACCGGAGAGAAAAAUAAAAGUAUGGGGAAAAAAAGCCCGGGAAAACCCGGGG